AGCGAUCUUCAGGGCAGGGUGAAAUUCCCGAUCGGCGGUAUAGUCCGCGAGCCGCGCAGCGGCAGGAUUUGGUGUGAUUCCAAAACCGACAGUAUAGUCUGGAUGGAAGAAGAUGGAU
Regulatory RNA element from Firmicutes bacterium CAG:114, 118 nucleotides. It matches the Rfam family "FMN riboswitch aptamer (RFN element)". From Rfam's summary of the family: The RFN element is a highly conserved domain that is found frequently in the 5'-untranslated regions of prokaryotic mRNAs that encode for flavin mononucleotide (FMN) biosynthesis and transport proteins. The record is from Rfam. NCBI's taxonomy places the organism in Bacteria, Bacillati, Bacillota.